GGAUGUCGGGGCAAUCUGGCUGCAACUCUCACUUCAUUAUCACCAGGGUUGAUUUCACUGAUCUGGCUGGCUAGGCAGGUGUCCCAUUCUUCCCUCACUACUCCAUAUGCAUCCCUCCCAAAGUUGCACACUCGGUCAAAGUGGAAAACUUUCCCCAGUAUCGAUGUACUAUUCAUGGGUCAAGAAUAUACGGUAGCUGUUCUCCCCUGCUAGAAUGUGCAAACAAGCUCAAGGUCCAGUUGUAGGAGAACAUAGAGUAGUCAAGCUUCCAAGACUGCAGACACAUCGAAGUGAGAAGCUGCUUGGGGCAGUCUGCCAUUGCUU
This 324-nucleotide small nuclear RNA is filed under the name Nestor notabilis (Kea). Its description in RNAcentral is "7SK RNA". It matches the Rfam family "7SK RNA". Rfam says of the family: 7SK was discovered as an abundant small nuclear RNA in the mid-70s but a possible function has only recently been suggested. Two independent studies have found that 7SK RNA binds the CDK9/cyclin T complex (known as elongation factor P-TEFb). Lineage: Eukaryota; Metazoa; Chordata; Aves; Psittaciformes; Psittacidae. The record is from Rfam by way of RNAcentral.